RNAcentral lists this long non-coding RNA (228 nucleotides) under Carica papaya (papaya). RNAcentral describes it as "long non-coding RNA (CPAP_LNC011262)". Lineage: Eukaryota; Viridiplantae; Streptophyta; Magnoliopsida; Brassicales; Caricaceae. The record is from RNAcentral.
UGAAGGACUCAAAACCUUUGUACAAAUGGAUAUGUCUAGAAAUUAUAUAUACAUAAAUCCAAUUCGUUAUUGUGAAUCGAUUUGAUAGGUUCAUAAAACAUCACAAAAGUGUUCAACAAACAUUAUGCCAUUCUUUUACUUCCAAAUCAUUCAAUGACAAUAAAAAGUUUGCUUGGUUGCAUCACAGGCACCAAUUAUCUCAAGAAAUAUGUCAUGCAUGUUAACAUU